AGUGAACGCUGGCGGUAGGCCUAACACAUGCAAGUCGAACGGCAGCACAGUAAGAGCUUGCUCUUACGGGUGGCGAGUGGCGGACGGGUGAGGAAUACAUCGGAAUCUACUUUUUCGUGGGGGAUAACGUAGGGAAACUUACGCUAAUACCGCAUACGACCUACGGGUGAAAGCAGGGGAUCUUCGGACCUUGCGCGAUUGAAUGAGCCGAUGUCGGAUUAGCUAGUUGGCGGGGUAAGGGCCCACCAAGGCGACGAUCCGUAGCUGGUCUGAGAGGAUGAUCAGCCACACUGGAACUGAGACACGGUCCAGACUCCUACGGGCGGCAGCAGUGGGGAAUAUUGGACCAUGGGCGCAAGCCUGAUCCAGCCAUACCGCGUGGGUGAAGAAGGCCUUCGGGUUGUAAAGCCCUUUUGUUGGGAAAGAAAAGCAGCAGGUUAAUCCCCCGCUGUUCUGACGGUACCCAAAGAAUAAGCACCGGCUAACUUCGUG
This 492-nucleotide ribosomal RNA is filed under the name uncultured bacterium. RNAcentral's name for it is "partial 16S ribosomal RNA". It matches the Rfam family "Bacterial small subunit ribosomal RNA", at positions 29 to 507 of the family's 1533-position model. The record is from RNAcentral.